AUAAUGGCGCCCGGCAGCCCGAGACACAGAGCCGCCUGCUUCAAUGGCACUAAUUCCACAUGUUGAAGACCCAAGACCGAGACUCAGCAUCAUGGCGUCCACCUUGGAAAGCAAAGUCGAGGAGCGUAAAGACAACAAUGAGAAAACAGUGGACAGGGAGAAGACUUGCCCGCUGUUGCUGCGUGUGUUCUGCUCCAAUGGUCGCCACAACAUCAUAACAGAGUACCGCAGGGGAAACACCCCCCCUAAUGAGCUACAGAUAUACACAUGGAUGGAUGCUACCCUGAAGGAAAUAGGCAGUCUUAUUUUGGAGGUCAAUCCAGAUACUCGACGUCGGGGGACUGUGUUUGAGUUCCGACUGGUGUACCCGGAGCUGACCAAGUCCAUCCCCCGCAUGAAGGAACUUGGCUCCAUCGUGAUUGGACAGAAGGGCUUUGAUGACAACAAGACACUGGCACAGUUAGGCUUUGUGAUCGGGGACUUCUUGGACAUUGCCAUCACUAACCCUGGCCGAGGAAUGCCACCCCAGCGACGGAUGAGGCCCUACUAGCACCCUUGUUCCGGGGGUUUGUCAAGGUCACUUUCAGGAGGAUCCAAGACAGGCAGAUAAGACGUACACACGUGCAUCGUUCACUGUGGAUGGAGUGUGUAGGACGUGCUAGCAAACACAGUGGUGGCAGGAGCGAGAGCAGAAGUUGGGGUACACCUACUCCUGGUCUGGCAUGAACAAUGGUCUUUAAAGAGGAAGAUCUACAAUCAUUUACAGCCAUUUUUGUCAUUGAGGGCACUCUGGCUGAUGAGCAUGUAAUUUGAGUGAGGCAAAGCACACCUUGCAGUAUAUGCUUCUACUGAGUUGUGUGAACCUGAAGAGAAAGACGUGUUCUGUCUCAAACUUUAUUCCAUACUGGGCCAGUACUUCCCCUGGGAGGCACUCAUGGUCUUAGGUGACUUUAAUGUUUUUACUGAGAGCUGGCUGUGUGUGCAACUGAUCAUAAGAUUUGUAUUGCUUUACUCAAGCUUUGUGUCAUGUCAAGAAAAAUCUCAAGAUAUAACCAAACUGUGUUCAUGUUGAGAAACUGCAAGGUGAGUAUGGUCCUGAGUUUGUAGUGACAGUCUCAAAUGGUGCACCUUUGAGGUCUUGUUGAACCGGGGUAGACAAAGAAUAUCGAGAAGAGUUAUGGUGCCAGGCUUGCUGGGAACCAAGAUCAACAUUGGGCUGUUUUAUGUAGAACUAAAGGUCAUGAGAAGAGAAAAGAUGAGGUAUUUCAGGAGUCUCUGAGGACACUGCAGGUCAUUUCAGCACAAAUGACUUCUGACCUGCUUACUGAACCCAGAAAAUAACUGCUCCAAGUCUCCCUCUAAGGUGAAUGCUAUCCAAACAGGAGAUUACCUUGUGUCAGGCAUGGAUGAGCAGAGGGCUUGUUGGGCUGAGUACUUUUAGCUGCUGUGCAUGGCAGACCCUCCAAACAGGCAGAUCCCAAGUGCUACUGGGUUGUAAAUAGUGGAUGCUGACUCACCCAUUGGUGAAACCCCUUCUUCUCCUGACGAAGUCAGAGAGGCUGUGACUGGGUUGAUGGCAGUGGUUGGCACCGCUAACCGAAAAGUUAGCUUCGCUAACUGGUAAUCCACUAACUAAAAAGUUAGCUUCGCUUACGCUAAACUGAUAAAGAAAUUAAGUGGAAGCUAAUGCUAACCGCUAACUUUUUUAUAUGGAUUUAGCUUCGGUUUAGUAUUUUGACUCAAAAACUCUUAAAAACAGACCUUGUGACCUGAAAUUUUGAUAUGUAGUAGCUUAGACACAGCUUUCUAGAAAGGUAUAGCAUGCCAAAAUCAGAUGAUAAAGGUGUACACAUAUAAACAUUAAAUUGAACAUAUUGAAUUCUUGUUAUUAAAUCCCGAGCUCAAAGGGUUGGAAAUGAAAGAUGCAUUACCAUAAAAUACCAAAAAGUUUCCCCAAUAAUUGUCCAAUACUGUACUUUAAGGCGUAAUUUACCCAAAAGUGGAAACGCUGGAAUUAUUGCGUCACGUGGCUCAGCUGGUGCUGUGUCUCCCCACAACGGACAUAACAAACCUGUAUGAAUUUUUUAUUUAGCGGAUGAGGAGCUACAUUUAGCAGAAGCUAAUUGGUCUGUUAACUGUUUUCAAAGUUAGGGAAAAUGCUAAGCAGCUAACAAAAAAGUUAGCUUCGCAAAUUAGCAGUUAGUAGAUUAGUGGACCCGUGCCCACCCCUGGUUGAUGGGUAGAAAACCAGCUGGUGUUUGCAGCUUCAUUACAUAUCUGCUCAGAGCUGUAGGUAUGAACAUGGGCCAUGGGUUGCAUGCAGUCUUGCCUGCAGUAUGGCAGUAUGGUGCCAUUCCUCCUGAUUAAAAAUAAGGAGCUGGUUAUACCUAUGUAGAUAGGGAAAGGAAACUGACACGACUAAAAGAACUAGCAGUAACAAACUGUUUUCAGCAGUGGUCAGCAAACAGCUACUGAUCUCACCUGAUUUGAGCGCUGGACCUCAGUCAGUCAGCUCCUACGCCAGUUGCUUUUGAAUGGCAGGAACAUAAGCAUGGAAGAAACUUUUAUGGAGCAUUGUAGCAUUAUGUUGUGCUAAAAACACCAGAAUAGAGGGGUAAAAUAUGGUGCAAGCAGUGACUCAAGACACAGGAGGAGAGGAAGCUCCACUCAAAUUUUCUCUGAGCUUGAGAAAGAAAGUGGGCCCAUUAUUGAGGACUGUACAAGGAUGACCAUCAAUACAUUUUAUGAUUUUCUGAGGAAAAUUGAGUUGUAUAUUAUCAAAAAACUAUUCAUUUACAUGAGAGCAGACAGCUACUGGCGACCUGUCUCCUGGCAUGCUGUUGCCCUGCACUCUGAAAUGCCUCCCGCCUAUGAUUGCCUGAACCACACUGUACUGUCCUUUGCUCGCCCCAAAUUAUGCUCCUGGCAACACUGCAUGGGGAAGUGCAGGGCUUGCAAGGCCUAGUGUGGCUGUGGCUGUGGCUUAAGGAACAUUUACAUUGACAUUUGGAACUAAAGGCACAGAAUACAGUAAACCUUUGCUUUUACGGACCUUGAUUUAUAUAAUGAGUUGGCUUUAAAAAACUUUUUGGGCCUGUCCCGGCAUAUCCUGGAAUUUACCAAACGAGUUCAGUUCCAGAACUUUACCUGCCCUAGCCUCAAUUUUUACCGCAGAACAAUCUGCCAUUCUUUUAGCAAUUCGCACAAUCUUCACUUUGCCUGUUGGUAUUUUUACUGUCUACUCUGACUCACAGGCAGCCGUCUGCAAUGGAAGAUUUUAGAAGCACCCACCAUAUAGUUUUAUAAAUUUUUAGCUGGCUGGUUCUGGCCAAAAGGUGUGGCCACCAAAUAAUUUUAUGCUGGGUACCUGCCCACGUCUCUGUGCGUGGUAAUGAGGAGGCCAAUAAGGUGGCGCAGGCCGCUGCUUCUCGUCCUCCCUCACAGUGCGCUCUUCCAUUUAGGAAUUUGUAUACCACCGUGCGGUCUGCACUUCAGAGGGUGUGGCAGUGCAGGUGGGUGGCUGUGAUUGCCACGACAAAGAUGGGGGAAGUCAGUGCUGUGCUUCCCUGGUCGUAUUCUCAUAUAAGGAAUCGUAAGAGGGAGACUGUCCUGACUCGCCUUAGGGUGGGCCACACUCGAUACACACACGGCUUCCUCAUGUCUCCAUGGGAGUUCAGCCGUACUGUGAUGACUGUUUGGUCCCCCUGACUGUUCAGCAUUUGCUGGUCGAGCGCCCCAGUCUGGGGGACCUGCGAGAGCGGUACUUCCCCCAGUGUCAGGGUGGAGAUGGGAGUUUCUUUCUCUCUCUGGUGCUGGGGAGAAGGCUCUCUACCUGGGACAUGACAUUUAUGGCUUCCUACAGGAGGCUGGCGUCCUCAACCUCCUGUAGGUUUUAUUGACCUUUUAUUGUUGUUUUUUAUCAUGUUUUAAUUAUUUACCGGUUUUAUAUAGUUUAUUUUGUAUUAGCUUUGGCGCCAUAUGACCCUGCAGUUGCAGCGCCAAGAAUGAAACUCCUGCAAUAAUCAAUCGGUCCGGCAUAUCCUGGAAAAUAUCAAACAAGUUCAGUUCGGUGGUGGGCUCGCCAAACAUGUACAGCGUACACGCACAUUGGUCGGCAGUGGUGGAAGCAAUACAGACCAGGUGGUGUGCAUCUAGUCAGCUUUGUCCAUUUGGCUAAUCAUCUCCACUCUUGUCCUUCUGUGCCUCACCUUUCAUCUCAUAUAAUGAACAAACUAUGUUAUAUAUGGAAAUGGUCAGAAAUAGCAAACUUUCAGCUCAUAUAAUGAACUAACAAAUGUCUAGGAGAGGCCUAUGUCCUGCAAUGGGAUGAUACAGAAUGAUAAUGAUGAAGGGAUAAGUGAAAACCAUCAUGGAACAUUUACUUUAAUGAAUGAUUUUUACAUCAAUCUAGUGCUAGAGUUACUGUACAGACAAGGUACUUCUGCUGCACUGAAUACAACACACAUUACAUUCAGACAUUGAUUUUAACCAGCUGAAGGGUUAUUGGGUUAGGGACCGGGAAACAGGAAAGGACAGGAUUAUAGACUUGAACUGCUUUUUUAUGUUAUUGACCUCCUCUUUACACAUAUUUGUAUAAUAGCAUUUGACACCAAGUAUUGUGGUAUUAUAUAGAAGGCGACAUACACGUGGAGGCAACAUUGGAAUCAGGAGGAGGGAUUCAGGCGGGGUGUCUCUGAGGAGUGUUCAUAUGGCCAACAGUGAACAUGUGCUGUUUAAAAUUAUUCCACUUCAAAGUAGAGUUCAUUAAAAUAUUAUUGGUUUGAUUCUAAGGAUUUCUAGUGACACUCACUUGUUGAAAAUCAGUAAGUCAUCUCAUACCUUUCACAUCUGUUACAGCAUGAGUGCCACAAGGUUACAUAUGAUUUGCCAUCGAAAAGUUCACUGUGAGUGGUGACCUGCUCUUCAGGCAUCCAAAUAUGAUGCCAAUGGUGAUUUGUUUUGAACAGUUGACUAAAUGGGCCUUGUGAAACUCACUUCAGUUAUUAUAUACUGGCAUAAGGAUAGUUUGUAGGCAGAGACAGGGUAGCAAUUCCAACCAGUGUGGAUCACUUACAACCAAAUGGUACCAGGAAGGGGUAAGAAGCAGCCCAAUUUUAAAUAAAUCAUGCACACAUCACUUGGCUACCUUGUAAUUGAGUCAAAUCAUCAAAAUGAGUAUCCAAAUAUGAAGGCCAAUGUCUAACAAUUCUACAUAGCUUAACCCGGGUCAGAUAUCUGGUCCACAGAAGUGUUAGAAACAAAUAUUUACAGCAAAUUAAAUGGAUGACUAACCUGGUUAGUUCAGCUUCAUUCUAUACAAAUUUGGAGUAGGUAGGAUUGAUGCCUGACAUAAGUUAGGACUGGCAUACGAUAGUGCUACACUAGUACUGUACUGGAAUGUAACAACCUGCCUCCUAACUUCUACUCCGCUAAAUUGUGCUUUAUUAAUAGUAUCCACAUGAGGGUCACUACAGUACUAGCAGCAAUAUACUCUGUUCGAGAUUAUGUCCACAUAUAUUAUUUGUAAAAAAAAAAAAAAAAAUAAUAAUAA
Eriocheir sinensis (Chinese mitten crab) is the source of this 5551-nucleotide RNA transcript. It is a transcript of the gene named histone deacetylase complex subunit SAP18-like, with no coding region annotated. The record is from RefSeq and is a predicted model, not a curated record. The transcript is spliced from 5 exons. NCBI's taxonomy places the organism in Eukaryota, Metazoa, Arthropoda, Malacostraca, Decapoda, Varunidae.